AGAGUUUGAUCCUGGCUCAGGACGAACGCUGGCGGGGUGCUUAACACAUGCAAGUCGAACGAUGAAGCCCUUCGGGGUGGAUUAGUGGCGAACGGGUGAGUAACACGUGGGCAAUCUGGCCUGCACUCUGGGACAAGCCCUGGAAACGGGGUCUAAUAGCGGAUAACACUCCUGCCCGCAUGGGUAGGUCUUGAAAGCUCCGGCGGUGCAGGAUGAGCCCGGGCCCUAUCAGCUUGUUGGUGAGGUAGUGGCUCACCAAGGCGACGACGGGUAGCCGGCCUGAGAGGGCGACCGGCCACACUGGGACUGAGACACGGCCCAGACUCCAACGGGAGGCAGCAGUGGGGAAUAUUGCACAAUGGGCGCAAGCCUGAUGCAGCGACGCCGCGUGAGGGAAGACGGCCUUCGGGUUGUAAACCUCUUUCAGCAGGGAAGAAGCGCAAGUGACGGUACCUGCAGAAGAUGCGCCGGCUAACUACGAGCCAGCAGCCGCGGUAAUACGUAGGGCGCAAGCGUUGUCCGGAAUUAUUGGGCGUAAAGAGCUCGUAGGCGGUCUGUCGCGUCGGAUGUGAAAGCCCGGGGCUUAACCCGGGGUCUGCAUUCGAUACGGGCAGACUAGAGUGUGGUAGGGGAGAUCGGAAUUCCUGGUGUAGCGGUGAAUUGCGCAGAUAUCAGGAGGAACACCGGUGGCGAAGGCGGAUCUCUGGCCCAUUACUGACGCUGAGGAGCGAAAGCGUUGGGAGCGAACAGGAUUAGAUACCCUGGUAGUCCACGCCGUAAACGGUGGGUACUAGGUGUUGGCGACAUUCCACGUCGUCGGUGCCGCUGCUAACGCAUUAAGUUCCCCGCCUGGGGAGUACGGCCGCAAGGGUAAAACUCAAAGGAAUUGACGGGGGCCGGCACAAGCAGCGGAGCAUGUGGCUUAAUUCGACGCAACGCGAAGAACCUU
RNAcentral lists this ribosomal RNA (949 nucleotides) under Streptomyces griseus. Its description in RNAcentral is "bacterial SSU rRNA". It matches the Rfam family "Bacterial small subunit ribosomal RNA", at positions 8 to 972 of the family's 1533-position model. Lineage: Bacteria; Bacillati; Actinomycetota; Actinomycetes; Kitasatosporales; Streptomycetaceae. The record is from RNAcentral.